This 454-nucleotide long non-coding RNA is filed under the name Homo sapiens (human). Its description in RNAcentral is "non-protein coding LINC01568:4". The record is from RNAcentral. Lineage: Eukaryota; Metazoa; Chordata; Mammalia; Primates; Hominidae.
UUACAUACGCCUCCUGCCACAUCGGAUUUCCUUCUAUUUUGUCAGGGGUGGCAUCAUCCAGUGAGUAAAUCUGUUAGUGAUCUCCCUCGCAUAACCUAGGAAUUCUCUCAGGAUCCAUUUUUCCAGUAGUUUUGAGAAAGCGACCAACAACAGCAAAGAGAGUAGUUCUUCCAUUCCAAGAGCAGCCAUCUUGCUUAACUGACAAACUAGAGAGAACUGCAAGGACUCAGUACAUCCCUGGCACAGUCCAUUCUCUCUCACAGCAUAUUGUAUGAGACUGUGUGAGUGCUGCUUCCACGCUACACUAAAAACCCAUGGUCCCUGCAUUAUUUGAGCAACUGACAAGCUUCUGAAGUUCAGGUUCGCGAACGCUGAGAGCAGCACCCAGUGGAUUUGUGGCAGGGAUGCACUCUAUCUGCGCAGAGGAAAACUCGUAGGACCUCCUAGGAUGCAU